Odontomachus brunneus is the source of this 5435-nucleotide RNA transcript. It is a transcript of the gene named FH1/FH2 domain-containing protein 3-like, with no coding region annotated. The transcript is spliced from 18 exons. The record is from RefSeq and is a predicted model, not a curated record. Lineage: Eukaryota; Metazoa; Arthropoda; Insecta; Hymenoptera; Formicidae.
CCGGAAGAACGCGAUCAUUCUCAGGACCCAGCUGUCCGUGAGGGUUCACACCAUCAUAGAAAAAUUGCUGAACAGCGAAGGCCGUGAGCUGCGACGGGCCCUCUUCUCCCUCAAGCAGAUCUUUCAGGAGGACAAGGACCUGGUGCACGAGUUCGUGCAAAAUGACGGACUCGCCUGUCUCAUCAAAGUCAGCAGCGAAGCCGACCAGAACUACCAAAAUUACAUAUUACGAGCACUCGGCCAGGUGAUGCUGUACGUCGACGGCAUGAACGGGGUGAUGGAACACGGGCAGACGGUGGAAUGGCUGUAUACGUUAAUUGCCAGCCGUUUUCGGCUGGUGGUGAAGACGGCGCUGAAGCUGUUGCUCGUGUUCGUGGAAUACGUAGAAACAAACAGUCUGCUGCUGGUCAGAGCUGUGAGGGCGGUGGAUACCGCCCGCGGCAUGAUACCGUGGAUUAACGUGAUGAAGCUUCUGAAGGAUUACGACGCCGCCGACACCGAGUUGCUCAUCUACGCGACCACGUUGGUCAACAAGUGCCUGAACGGCAUCCCCGAUCAGGACACCUACUACGAUCAGGUGGACUGCCUCGAGGAGCAGGGUAUGGAGGGUGUUAUCCAGAGGUACAUGUCGAAGCAGGGUACGGAUCUCGACCUGCUCAGGCAGUUUCAGAUCUACGAGGCGGUGCUGCAUCACGAGGACGGCGACAGGGGUUCGCCUAUUCGCCAGCUGGACGACAAUAUCAGGAAGACCUUGCGGAACCGGAAGUCCCUGGUGGAUUCUCACGAGCGACGAAAGUCUCGGAGGCACUCGACGGGCACCUCGCCCCUUUCGAUGUCUCUGAACGCGCGCCUGAGUCCACGGCUAAAUCAUACUCUAGGCGUAAGCUCGCUGAACAGCACCUUGAACUCAAGCCUGCCAGACGACGACGACGGAUCGAGUAGCUCUCAGAGCUCUCAAGGUCAUCUGGGUGAGGUUCAGCUUAAUGGCAGUUACAAGGAGAACAAAGUGGAUGUUGGUGUGACACCGGCGCUGAGACGGCGACGAGAGCGCGCGGAGAGACAGAGGAGCUUCAUUAGAGAGCAACAAGAGGCUACCGCAAACAUGAGGGCUUCGAUCGGUCACAGCGACGAUCAGGAAAGUCAGUUUGCGUCGAACAGUCUGCGAUACACGAACGGCAGCCCUUACGAGAGGAACGCCGAUUCUCCCUCAAACAAGUUGUCCAGAACGAACAGCAGGAAGGACUUGACGCCCUUGAUGAAUGCCGCGAACAAGCUCGACUCGGAGGAGAAGAAGCCGUGGUAUGGCAAAAGUCCCAACGAAGGUGUCGAGUAUGGCGAGAGUAAUCACACCGACGAAGACGAGGAUCGUCGAGUGCUGCUACAGCCUAAAAGGGAGGGCACCGUCAAGGAUCUCACGCAGAAGUUGGCGGCACAGAAUCUUAUACCAAGCAGUCCCGUGGAGGAGAAAGUUUCCAGGAUAGGCGACAUCAGCGGGCUGAUCUCGAAGGCAAAAGAGGGCUUGGCCAAGUCCAAGUCGAAGGCGGAUGUGCUAAAGUCACCCACCGGCGACAAUCUGCCGAAGCUACAGGAGACGAAGAAGUCCGAGAACGAGCUACACUGGGAAGAACUGGUGAAGAAGCUGAAGCGGCCGCUCGCGCUCUGCGACCUCGACUUCACCGACUUGAACUCCGAGGACGAGAUCGACGUGUUGGGCUCGGCCAACGUUGCGAACGGCGUGCCGCCGCCGCCGCCACCGAUGGCGCCUUCGUGCGGGGACGCGAGAGCACCUCCACCGCCGCCAUUGGGCGCGAGAUUGCCGCCGCCGCUUCCUCAAGGUCCGCCGCCACCGCAGCCCUUCGGCGUCAACCUCAAGACGUCGAGGCCGCCGUUGGCCAACGAGAUCGGCGGCGGCGGCAGCAGCAGCAGCUGCGCGCCCAAGAGCCCGCCGUCGCUGAUCGCCAAGAAGAGCAAAAAGACGGUGAAGCUGUUCUGGAAGGAGGUGCGGGACGACCUCAACAUUCUCGCGCGGCUCAACAAACACAAGAUGAUCUGGGACGAGCUGGCACCCGUGGCGGUCGACACGCAGAAGCUCGAGCACCUCUUCGAAAGCCGCGCCAAGGAUCUCAUCACCAAGCAGAAGCAGCAGGAGAUGAAUAAGAACAAGGAGAUCAUCGUGCUGAAUCACAAGAGGUCGAACGCCAUCAACAUCGGCAUGACGAAACUACCGCCGCCGAGAUCCAUCAAAACCGCGAUCCUGAAGAUGGACGCCACCAUCAUGAACAGAGAAGGUAUCGAGAAACUCCUGACGAUGCUGCCCACCAAGGAGGAAAAAUCCAGGAUACAAGAGGCACAGGCCGCCAAUCCCGAUCUUCCUUUAGGAUCGGCCGAACAAUUCCUCCUGACUUUGACCUCCAUCUCGGAAUUGCCGGCGAGGCUGAAGCUGUGGGCAUUCAAGCUGGAUUUUGAAAACUCCGAAAAGGAAAUCGCGGACCCUUUGAUGGAUCUGAAGCAGGGCAUGGAGACGCUGCGAGUGAAUAAAACGUUCCGCGGGAUUCUGAGCACGCUCCUUUCGAUCGGGAUAUUCCUCAACGGAAAUGAGGUGAAGGGCUUUCAGCUGGAAUACCUCGUCAAAGUACCUGAAGUGAAGGAUACGGUUCACAAGCACUCGCUGCUUCAUCACCUCUGCCAUAUGGUGAUGGAGAAGUUCCCAGAUUCGACGGAUCUCUAUUCCGAGAUCGGCGCGGUAACGAGAGCUUCGAAAAUCGAUUUCGACGAGCUGGCGGCGAACAUCGCGAAACUCGAGAGCGAGUGCAAAGCGUCUUGGGACCAUCUCAAGCUCAUUGCAAAGCACGAUGGUUCGACGAUGAUGAAGGUCAAAAUGUCCGACUUUCUCGCCGACUGCGCCGAAAGGAUAAUCGUCCUGGGCAUCGUGCACCGACGUAUCAUAAAUCGUUUCCGCAAAUUCAUCUUGUGGCUCGGCAUACCGCUGCAUAGGGUACAAGACACGAAACCCAACGAGUUUUGCAGGAUCGUGUCCGAAUUCGCUCUGGAGUACAGGACCACCAGGGAACGAGUGAUACAGCAGCUCGAGAAGAAAGCCAAUCAUCGGGAGCGCAAUAAGACCAGGGGGAAGAUGAUAACGGAGGUCGGCAAGUUCCGCACAAAGGAGGACCGAGCGGACGCGGAACUCAGGCAACUACUUGGCAGUGACAUUUCAGACGUCGAAAGUAUUCACGGCACAUUACCAUGGCGAAGACAGAGGAAGGACGGACGUAUAAUCACACUGGGUCCGGUGCUCAGAGACGAGAGCACUAACGGCAACUUGGCCGACGGCGUGGACGAGCUGCUGGAGUCUCUGGUGAAAACCGCGACGAAGGCACCGGCCACCAGAACGACGCCACGCGAGCGCAAGAGGACCAGACACGCCGAUCGUAAGUCUUAAAUUAUAGAUUCAAGACAGAUGAGAAAAAGAGAAGAUGUUGUGAGUUCCACCGCCAUUAUAUCCUGCGUCCUGUAAUCCGUCCUGGAGUUAACUUUCCGUCGUAAUCAUGGCCAGACAUUCGAUGGUCCCUCAGGAAGAUACGAAUCGAUCGGAAACAUGGCGUUAAUUAAUAAUCACGCGUUAACCGAUCAUGAUUGGCGAAUGCUACGCGCGAAACUUGCAAUACGUACCAUCCUAAUAAGUUAGAAAACCGUUUAGAAGCUUCAGUGUAUUUUGAUUUUAUACGUUAUGUAUAGUUGGCGAAUGAUGGGGACGUUUUUGUCCUUUCACAGGCGAUUAUUUGGAACUCUCGCGCGUCUCUCACCUCUCCGUGAUCGCGUCAUUUCGUCUCGGAUCGUUAAGCGACGAGUAUACCGCGACGCGUGUCGGUGAGUUAUUGUUUACAUUUUCCAUCGGAUGCUUCAGACAUUUCGUUGACUCUUGAAACGUUCAGUCGGUAUCGCGUUAAUUAACCAGUGUCCCUCCGAUCGAAUCGUAUACACGCGAGUGUCAGUGCCAGGUGCAAAUGUCCGGUAUACCACAAUGGUGCAGCUUGUGGAGCUAGGAUGUUGAGUUGGAAAGCCAGGACGAAGGACGCAGGAUGCUGGGAAGCAGGCGGCGAUACGUCAUACAUCUUCAGUGCGUAGAACGCUGAAGAAUGGGCUCUCGGAAGAGGAGAAGAAGCACAUCGCCGCCUACAUCAAGGGCUACUGACUGUGAUAAUACUCGAAGGACACGAAGACAUGCCCUCGACGAGACACGAGACGGAACGGGACUGACGGAGCGACGGGAGGAGCCGGGGCACGUCGAUAUUCGGGCGCGCAAAGGAGGCGAGAGAAAACGCGGCGGAAACUCGGCCAAGACACAUCCCCGCCGAGAUCUCGGGAACAUAGGAGUUCUCGUCUCUCCACCGCCAUCAUCACGGGAUGCUCCGGGAUGGUCGAACGACACGCGUGGUCGAUCGACUCCGCGCGACACGUCGUCUCCGACGUCCGCGUGAAGCGUCUCGCGUACGCUCGUUCGAUUCUUCUCAUCAAGAUAGGAUAACAGGUGUAUCCGACGAAGGGAGAAAAGAGACGAGAGGAAAGAGGAGGAGGAAAUAAUGAAAAGAAGCACGUCUGGUCGCGAAGGUUCGAAGACGAGUAUCGAUCGACGAUUUAGAUUUAAGCGAACGAUCAAGCAGAUCGGCGUUUCCUCUUUCUCUCUCUCUUUCUUCUCUCGAAAAUAUCGCGCGCGUUGUAGAGAGUCUAUCCCGCUAGGAAUUUUCCUCCGCUUUGUAGAAGCGUUCUCGUUCUUCGCAGACGUCUCUCCGUCUCUCUGUCACGUGGAAAUUCUCCGGUUUCGCUAAAAUUUCUUUAUCUCGCGCGGAGAAUCUCGCGGGAGAUUCGCGCCCGGCGCGGUUUCCGCAGGGCUUCCUUCCCCUUUCCUUCGGAAGAUUUAGGUGCGUGUCCGCGCGCGCACACGCGUUAUUUGCGUUAUCGUAUAUGUAUGUUUAACGUAUUGUGUACUCGGUACUUCUCGGAAGAUUCACCCGAGCCUCGGACGACAUGGGGUCGACACUCUCGACUAAUAAUCGUACGUAAUCACACCAACACGUGCCUCGACGAAUUUUCUAUGAUCGAUCGAAUAUAUCUAAGAGCGAACGACGCUUUUACUCGCAACACGCGAUCCGUUAUAAUGAUAACGAAGAGACAGCUGUUUCUUUUACUAUUACUUUCUUUCUGUUUUUCUUUUCUUUUGCGUACGAAGUAACCAUACUGCGGAACGAUUUCUGUCGAAUACAGCGAACGCAUCGAUGGCACGCCGCGUUGGCGUGACUCGCCCCUGCGGGGGAAGCACACAACUUAAUUACCUUAAUCAUCAUUUUACUAUUGCGUCCCGUACGGCCGCAUAAUCGCAUUCAUUGUAACUUUCUGUGGAAAUGAUUCUUCAAAUAAAGCGAGAAGCAGUUCUA